RNAcentral lists this long non-coding RNA (410 nucleotides) under Apteryx rowi (Okarito brown kiwi). RNAcentral describes it as "lncRNA (ENSARWG00000017066.1)". The record is from RNAcentral. Lineage: Eukaryota; Metazoa; Chordata; Aves; Apterygiformes; Apterygidae.
GUUCUCCCAUACUAGGUUUCUGGGAGACCAUGUUGCGCCUCUCGAGGUAGCGGGAGGUGCAGUUCUCUGUCAGCGGGGUUCCCACCAGCCGUCCGCGUAGUGCUCUGUGGCAGGUUAUGAAUCUGCAUGACUUCCUGAGAACUGUUCUGAGCAUGUGGUGUUGUGGGUCAUGACCGCCUGGGCAGUGGUCCCCAACUUGUCUGCCAAGACUACGCAACAACUGACAGCUGCCUGUGGAAUGAAAGCAAAGGCCAACUUCUCAGAGAUCCUGCAAGAUUACAAGGAUCCCUCUGGAGCCCUUCCUCAUGCCCGGGAGCCCUCUGUUGGCCCUCCAGCCCCUUUAGCAACCCUCUGUUCUGCUUUGGCCCCUCCUCUGGCCUUUUAGUUUCCUCUCGCAGACCUCUCUUAGC